GGCUGUGAUUUUGGAUCAAUUGAUUGCAACUGAGACUAAGGCUGCCUUCCAAGAAGGCCUUCCGCCAUGACCAUCUGCCAGUUCUUCCUGCAGGGCCGCUGCCGCUUUGGGGAGCGUUGCUGGAACGAGCACCGGAGAGGGGGCAGUGGCGGGGGUCGGCCUCUGCCGCAGCAGUACCCGGCGGCGCCCUCCGGUUGUAGCCGAGGGGGAUGGAGCAACAGUUCUCAGAGAUAUUCUAAUGUCAUCCAACCAUCUAAUUUCUCCAAAUCCCCAACUUGGAGGGGCAGCAGAGAUCCAGGGAAGACAUCCUUUGGGUCCUUUGACUCAGGAGCUUCAAGUAGUGGAAGCAGAAAUGUGGGGUUUUCUCAGAAGAGAUUCUCUUCACUGAACUCUAACCAAGUGGAUGGGCAGAAAAAUGAAGAGGAUAAACUGACUGAAGGAAUAGUAAAGGACAUGGAAGUUUGGGAAUCUUCAGGGCAGUGGAUGUUCUCUGUUUAUUCACCAGUGAAAGAAAAGCCAAAUAUAUCAGGUUUUACAGAUAUUUCACCAGAAGAGUUGAGACUUGAAUACUCUAACUAUAUAAGCAGCAAUAACUUACAAAGCUAUCUGAAUUCUAUCCAGCAAUUAGUAAACCUGUGGAAGAGCAGGUUACUUGAACUGAAGAACAUAAAUUCAGCAACCAAAGGAGCAUUGUUUUCCAAACUGAAGAAUGAAGGGGUACAAGUGGUUCCUACCUUUGGAUUUCAGAGUCAGCCAACCUCCACAUUCGGUUCAGCAGCCUUCCCGGGGAGCAGCAAUAACAGCCGCAGCAGCAGUGUCCAGAAUUUCAGUUUUAAGCCUACUUUGGGAUUUGGGGCCGCCCCGUCAGGCAACAGCACCUCUGUCUUUGGCUCACCGGCCUCCCUGGCGCUCACAGCUGCAUCUUCCUCCGGCUCGACAAUGACCUCCUCCACUCCCACUUCCUUUGGGUUCGGGGAGUCCUCCACUGUCUCGGCAGCAUCUUUUUCAUUCAAAAGCCCGGAAGUUUUUAGCUUUGGAUCAGCGGGGUUUUCAGGAUUUCCUGCUUCUUCCCCAUUAAGCACAGCAGGUGCCACCAGCACCCCUGCUUUUGGGGGAGGGAGUGGCGCAACAGGGUGGGGUGGCUUCGGCCCCUCGGGCUCGGGGGCCAACUUGUUUGGACUGCCCACCAGCGGCUUUGGGCCCGGCGACCCCUCCUCCUCCUCUGAGCCGCCGACCAGGGCUGGUAACACGGCCGAGAACCUGUUCACACCCAAGAACGAACUGACAGCCGAGGAGCUCAAACAGUUUGUGGCAAAGAAGUUUACAUUAGGGAAGGUUCCCCUCAAGCCACCACCGGAAGGGCUUCUGAGCCUUUAAAAGGACACUUUAAGGAAAGGGGGAGCCACGGGUAACCCUAGAGAACUUCUAAAUUUACUUCUCUAUACCAUU
This is an RNA transcript of Sarcophilus harrisii (Tasmanian devil), 1449 nucleotides long. It is a transcript of the gene named nucleoporin NUP42 pseudogene, with no coding region annotated. The transcript has a single exon. The record is from RefSeq and is a predicted model, not a curated record. NCBI's taxonomy places the organism in Eukaryota, Metazoa, Chordata, Mammalia, Dasyuromorphia, Dasyuridae.